Molecule: ribosomal RNA, 524 nt
Filed under: Bifidobacterium pseudocatenulatum
Lineage: Bacteria; Bacillati; Actinomycetota; Actinomycetes; Bifidobacteriales; Bifidobacteriaceae
Description: bacterial SSU rRNA
Rfam family: Bacterial small subunit ribosomal RNA
Source: RNAcentral
GUGGUAAUGCCGGAUGCUCCGACUCCUCGCAUGGGGUGUCGGGAAAGAUUUCAUCGGUAUGGGAUGGGGUCGCGUCCUAUCAGGUAGUCGGCGGGGUAACGGCCCACCGAGCCUACGACGGGUAGCCGGCCUGAGAGGGUGACCGGCCACAUUGGGACUGAGAUACGGCCCAGACUCCUACGGGAGGCAGCAGUGGGGAAUAUUGCACAAUGGGCGCAAGCCUGAUGCAGCGACGCCGCGUGCGGGAUGACGGCCUUCGGGUUGUAAACCGCUUUUGAUCGGGAGCAAGCCUUCGGGUGAGUGUACCUUUCGAAUAAGCACCGGCUAACUACGUGCCAGCAGCCGCGGUAAUACGUAGGGUGCAAGCGUUAUCCGGAAUUAUUGGGCGUAAAGGGCUCGUAGGCGGUUCGUCGCGUCCGGUGUGAAAGUCCAUCGCUUAACGGUGGAUCUGCGCCGGGUACGGGCGGGCUGGAGUGCGGUAGGGGAGACUGGAAUUCCCGGUGUAACGGUGGAAUGUGUAGAUA